UACGUAGGCGGAACAUUAAGUCAGUGGUGAAAUCCUGCGGCUCAACCGUAGAACUGCCAUUGAUACUGAUAUUCUUGAAUGUAGUUGAGGUAGGCGGAAUGUGUAAUGUAGCGGUGAAAUGCUUAGAUAUUACACAGAACACCGAUUGCGAAGGCAGCUUACUAAACUAUGAUUGACGCUGAUGUACGAAAGCGUGGGGAGCGAACAGGAUUAGAUACCCUGGUAGUCC
Molecule: ribosomal RNA, 229 nt
Filed under: uncultured bacterium
Lineage: Bacteria
Description: partial 16S ribosomal RNA
Rfam family: Bacterial small subunit ribosomal RNA
Source: RNAcentral